GUGAUAAUAUCGUCGCCGUUCUCGCUCGAAUCGCGGACGAGAUCCAAUGGCCGUUAGCCAAGGACGGGGCCGCUGUAAAACUAGACGAUUCGCAUUACUUUUUCUCCCUCCGGUUGCCCAAGGAGCAUCAGGGUUCGGAUUCGAGCAGUGAUGAGGAGGACAAGAAGAGUAGAGACAAAAACAUUAGUGAUUCGAAUGAUAUAUUGAAUUAUGGUUUGACCAUUGCAUCCAAAGGGCA
This 238-nucleotide unclassified non-coding RNA is filed under the name Hevea brasiliensis (rubber tree). The record is from RNAcentral. Lineage: Eukaryota; Viridiplantae; Streptophyta; Magnoliopsida; Malpighiales; Euphorbiaceae.